GACGAACGCUGGCGGCGUGCUUAACACAUGCAAGUCGAACGGAAAGGCCCCUUCGGGGGUACUCGAGUGGCGAACGGGUGAGUAACACGUGAGUAACCUGCCCUUGACUUCGGGAUAACUUCAGGAAACUGGGGCUAAUACCGGAUAGGAAUCCUUGCUGCAUGGUGGGGGUUGGAAAGCUUCGGCGGUUUUGGAUGGACUCGCGGCUUAUCAGCUUGUUGGUGGGGUAGUGGCUUACCAAGGCUUUGACGGGUAGCCGGCCUGAGAGGGCGACCGGCCACAUUGGGACUGAGAUACGGCCCAGACUCCUACGGGAGGCAGCAGUGGGGAAUAUUGCACAAUGGGCGGAAGCCUGAUGCAGCAACGCCGCGUGCGGGAUGACGGCCUUCAGGUUGUAAACCGCUUUCAGCAGGGGCGAAGCUUGUGGUGACGGUACCUGCAGAAGAAGCACCGGCUAACUACGUG
RNAcentral lists this ribosomal RNA (465 nucleotides) under uncultured bacterium. Its description in RNAcentral is "partial 16S ribosomal RNA". It matches the Rfam family "Bacterial small subunit ribosomal RNA", at positions 28 to 507 of the family's 1533-position model. The record is from RNAcentral.